UCCUACCCCUACCUAGAUGUUGGUGUUGGAUUACAGCAGGACCAACCAACAUAAGUCCUCACAAGUGUCUUGUAGGGACCCUUUUCCAAAUGCUGCCAGGUUUUGGACUGGAGUUGAUCCACCAUAUACAGUUCACCUCUCUGGCUGGGAACCAUUAUCCUACCACUACCUAGAUGUUGGUGUUGGAUUACAGCAGGACCAACCAACAUAAGUCCUCACAAGUGUCUUGUAGGGACCCUUUUCCAAAUGCUGCCAGGUUUUGGACUGGAGUUGGCUCACCACGUUACAUUCUCCUUCCUACCACUACCUGGAUGUUGGUGUUGGAUUACAGCAGGACCAACCAACAUAAGUCCUCACAAGUGUCUUGUAGGGACCCAUUUCCAAAUGCUGCCAGGUUUUGGACUGGAGUUGGCUCACCACGUUACAUUCUCCUUCCUACCAUCAGCUGGAUGUUGGGUUCCAUUGUGGCCUGGUGUUGAUUAUGUACUGGGUCUGCACGAGCAUGCUUUGGCUAGGAUGAAAAGAUGGAAGCUAUUUUUUCUUCUGCUUCCUAGUCUUGAGGUGAAGACUGUAGGGACCCACCAAAUAUGGUCUAAUGCACCCUAGCCACCCUACACCAUUGGACGUGUCCAAUUAUGCAUUGGAUGUGCAUCUUUUCUGCCUGAUUUAGCAAUGUAUAUCUUCACAGCGGGCAAAGAAUGUACUUGGUACAGAUGUGGUGUAGUCUCCUUCGAGUAUGUCCCCCCCCCCUACAUUGAUGUUUCACACUCCACGGGCUUGCUUCGGAUGCUUUCCACGGGGUGCUCAUCCAGCUAUAUCUUUCCACUGGUCCCUCUACCAGUUCACUGUGGGAUUCUAUCUAUAAUGUGAACAGAAGUAAGGUAAAGGUAUUGUGUUGGAAGUUAUAAUUUUCCUUCACUGAAAAUUUAUUUCUGAUAGAUACCUCCGCUCAUACUUUCCACUUCCAGUGCUUCUUUUUUGCCUAAUCUUGAAGUGAAUAUUGGGUUCUACUGUAGAGAGGGAGUCUGCCACACCAGAUGGGUUUGUCACACUCCUGUUGGUGGAGAGUUGUCGCAUGCUUACUUGCAUGUUACGGCACAGCUGUACCACGCGUAAACACGUGGGAGUAUUCGGGCUUAUGGCAAGCAAAAACUGCAAAUAGAAGGCAGCACUGACUGAGAAAAGCUAUUAUACGAGAGGAGGUAGCUAUAUAUCAGAAAUACAGUUUCAGUAUAAACAAAUUAUAACUUCUUCCUGUUUAUUUUCAAAGUAGUAUUUUUCCAAGAAUUUUGUAAUUUCUAGGUACUGCAAAGAAUUAUUAUUAUCCUUAUUUUUCUUUAAUUUAACUGCAUGUAACUGUCUGAAUGUUUGAUUACCUUUUGGUUUUGUGUGUGUGUUUGUGUUUGUGUAAAUAAUACUUGAAUUAAACUAAGAUUAGUGUUUCAAUUAUUUGCAAUUGUAACUUGUUAAUAUAAUGUUUUUCCUGUGGUGGAUGUGAUUUAACUUAGAUAAAUAAAAUUAAUUUUAACCACUUUCUAUUUUAAACAGUUUUUAUGUAUAAGAGUCUUAUUAAACUACUUUGUGGAGGAAAACCAGUAAAGUUGGACAUUAAUAGUGUACAUAUGGUUUAUAAAGUAUUCCAUUUGGAUAGACUGUCUUACAGAAAGAAUUAAUGAAGCUACUGACUUAUACUUGUUCAAGUAUGCAGGCUAGGUUUAUCAGAAUGUUGGGGAAGGGUGCAUUAAAGAUGAAGAAACAUAAUUUAUUGUGGGCCCUCUGGUACUCGGAGUGAAUAUUAACUUUAAAAGACACAUGAGUAUAACCCUAAUAAAUUCUUAAACCCAUUGCUGGUAUUGAAAUAAAAAGUAUGUUUUUGUAAGUACAAUAAAAGCUUUAUUAUCUGGCAACCAAGAUGGUGCUGGUUAAUCCAAUGUCAACUAACAUUGGUACUAAAGAGAUUAUAUCUGCAAUAUUUCAACAGUACUGAUAAUGAUAACAAUGUUAAGCAAUAAUAAACAUGAACAUUAUUGAAGGUGUUCAUUAGAAUGAACGGAAGUGAAUAAAACGAUGUGAUUGGCAUUUGUUGUUAUUCUUCAAAACUACUCAUGUUAUUACUUUAUAAUCAUUAAUGUAACAUAAACGUUAUUAUUUACUUUUUUUACUUCACUAGACAUUCCAAAUUGCCACUUUAUAAACUGACUGUAUAGGGAAGAUAUUAAAUUCUGGUUAGUCGAGUCUUCUAUUUAAUACUGGAUAAUCCAGCUUUUAUUGUACUUGAUUAAGAUGAUUCAUACCAUUAGAUCUACUAAUGCGAUGAAAUAUAUUUGUGAUAAGAGAUGAAAAACAUUGUUGUUGUCUCAGUCUUUCUCUGCUUGAAUCAUGCAAAUUAACUGUUAAAUGUUAGAACCAUAACCUUCAGGUUCUGGAAUGUUUUUCAGUGGGUUGUAUCAUGUUGUACUUGAUGGAACGAAUCUUACUGGAACAGAUGUUUAUCUUAUGAUUGAAAUAUUCCAUUAACCCUUUCCUGCCAUAGUUUGCUAUGUAAGGCUAAUUUAUGCUACUUGGUUAUCAGUGGUAGGAGGUGUAAUAAGCUUGCAGAAGAAGUAAACUCAACAUUGAAUAAGCUGGAAUGUAACUGUUGAAACAAAAUUUGUAACCCAAUAUUUUCUUUCUUACGAAUAUUAUUUGUACAGACACUUUUUCUGGAGUUAGGGAUUCGUUUUUUAUGUUUAUUAAACACAGAAAUAAAUUGUUUUAUUAAAAGUUUCAACUGUUAAACUGGUAAGUUUUUUUUGUUUUUUUAAACUUUACACUAUUUUAAGAGUUGUUUUGUACGUACAAACUUUUUAUCAGUUACUGUUGGCUAAUUCUCGUAUGUUUGAUUCUUAUUAUUUGUUCUGAAAUUAAUUGACAGCUGAAUUAACCUGUUUUUUUUAACUUGGUAAAUUUUCAAAGUCACUUGGUUAAAAGAAAUGUCUUAAUAAUAUUUUAGCCAAUUAAAUAUUUACUGUGAAUACAAAAGACAAGAAGUACGUGUCAGGUCAGAUUUAUUGAGUGCAUAAUUGUUAAUAUUAGUGAUUUAAAUACUUUUUACACCUCUUAUCAUUUGUGUAAUCGUUUUGCUUUGAGUUGCAGACAACAAAAGUAGGAAAGAGUUAAUAUUUGCAAUAAAAAGUUAUUGUGCUUAAUUUGCUCGGAUCUUUGCUUUUUUUGGGGGUUUUCAACUUCCUGUAACGUUUAGUCUUAGAUCUGCCUGGUUCUCUCUUGGAACUUUCGGGCAUUAUAUGUGUCCAUAAUAAUCUUUAAUGUUCCUUUUGUUGAACUUUCUAUUGCAAUGGAGAAAAAGUGAUACAAGUCUGUAGUUUUUAACUUAAAUCCUAUAGAUAUUUGUUUGUUCAAUAGUAUUAACAAACUAUUUUUACCUUUCAGUUAGAGCAGGUGAUUCUUUUGUUACUGAUUGCAGCACAGGGCUUGUGGUAAAUAAAACUAAGUUUUCUCUAAACCUGCAGAUAUUAUCUCAAAUUUUAAAUUUAUUAACAUCACUAUUUCAUAAGCAAAACAUUGGAUAGUUGAGGUGAGUUAAGAAAACUAAAUCAAGAGAAACAACAAGCCCUGUGAAAUAUUUCUCUGUUUUAUGUUUUCCUUAUCUGACUCUUUUCGUGAGGUUUACGUUCUGUGUGUUAUCUUGAGUUACUGGUGAUAUUAUGUUGUCUAAAAUACAGAAUAUUUUUCAGUAAAAGUCAACUUAGAAGUAACAUUAUCCUUCAAUUUAAUAGUUUUGGUAAAAGUAAACAAAAAUAGAAACUGUUUUUUUAUUGCAAUGGAAAUAAACAUUUGAGAUGUUCUUCUAGUUUUGUACAUAGAUAAACUAAACUUUUGUUCAGGAUAUAUUGUUAUUUAGGUCUAUCUCUUAAGUAUUAAUUGAUUCCCUUAAGUAAGCAUUUCAUUAUUCACGUAAAUACCAGUCACUGACAUUAUAGUUAAUAAUUACUAAGUAUUAGUGUUUACAUGAUCACAAUCUGAUACAUUUUAUCUUUGGAAUCAUAAUAUACAGAACGGAUAAGAAUGUGGACUUUUAAUUAACAGAUAUAAUAAAAUAAAUUUCAGGUUAGUAUCAAGUUGGAAAGUAAGUAUUACAUUACAUUGAAAUGGCAUACUUAAGGGUGAUCAAGAUAUCCUUUGUACUUUCAGGAAUUACCUUGUAACUUCAAUAAAGAUUAUUCUUUUAUAACAAAAA
Molecule: long non-coding RNA, 4237 nt
Organism: Limulus polyphemus (Atlantic horseshoe crab)
Lineage: Eukaryota; Metazoa; Arthropoda; Merostomata; Xiphosura; Limulidae
Exons: 2
Source: RefSeq, a predicted model, not a curated record